AUUGAACGCUGGCGGCAGGCCUAACACAUGCAAGUCGAACGGUAACAGGAAGCAGCUUGCUGCUUUGCUGACGAGUGGCGGACGGGUGAGUAAUGUCUGGGAAACUGCCUGAUGGAGGGGGAUAACUACUGGAAACGGUAGCUAAUACCGCAUAACGUCGCAAGACCAAAGAGGGGGACCUUCGGGCCUCUUGCCAUCGGAUGUGCCCAGAUGGGAUUAGCUUGUUGGUGGGGUAACGGCUCACCAAGGCGACGAGCCCUAGCUGGUCUGAGAGGAUGACCAGCCACACUGGAACUGAGACACGGUCCAGACUCCUACGGGAGGCAGCAGUGGGGAAUAUUGCACAAUGGGCGCAAGCCUGAUGCAGCCAUGCCGCGUGUAUGAAGAAGGCCUUCGGGUUGUAAAGUACUUUUAGCGGGGAGGAAGGGAGUAAAGUUAAUACCUUGACUCAUUGACGUUACCCGCAGAAGAAGCACCGGCUAACUCCGUG
RNAcentral lists this ribosomal RNA (490 nucleotides) under uncultured bacterium. RNAcentral describes it as "partial 16S ribosomal RNA". It matches the Rfam family "Bacterial small subunit ribosomal RNA", at positions 30 to 507 of the family's 1533-position model. The record is from RNAcentral.